AGUAACGGCGAGUGAAGCGGCAACAGCUCAAAUUUGAAAUUUGGCUCUCGGGCCCGAGUUGUAAUUUGUAGAGGAUACUUUUGAUGCGGUGCCUUCCGAGUUCCCUGGAACGGGACGCCAUAGAGGGUGAGAGCCCCGUCUGGUUGGAUGCCAAAUCUCUGUAAAGUUCCUUCAACGAGUCGAGUUGUUUGGGA
Molecule: ribosomal RNA, 194 nt
Filed under: Fusarium sp.
Lineage: Eukaryota; Fungi; Ascomycota; Sordariomycetes; Hypocreales; Nectriaceae
Description: partial large subunit ribosomal RNA
Rfam family: Eukaryotic large subunit ribosomal RNA
Source: RNAcentral